This is a non-coding RNA of Coturnix japonica (Japanese quail), 1842 nucleotides long. NCBI's taxonomy places the organism in Eukaryota, Metazoa, Chordata, Aves, Galliformes, Phasianidae. The record is from RefSeq and is a predicted model, not a curated record.
UUCAAGUUGGAUGUUAUGAAAACAUUUCUUCCCGGAAAGAGCGGUCAGGCUCUGGAAUGGACAGCAAAGGGAGGUAGUGGAGUCAUCAUUCUGGCAAUACUCAAGAAUUAUGUUCAGAUGCUGUACAGUUCUGUGAUUCUGUACCAGGGGAUGUGGUUUAGUGGGGAAAUAUUGGUAGGUGGACAGUGAAGCUGGACGAUCUUGAGGAUCUUUUCCAACCCUGAUGAUUCUAUGAUUGUAUUAUUCGGUUCUAUGAAUAUGUGUUCUCAUCCGGCUCUACCCUCACACAUCCAUACCAACCAGCACAGGAUGAAGAGCUGCAUUCUUGGAAAUUGCCAUGCACUGGCAGAAGUUGGUGCCAAAGAUGCCAGCAUAGUGCUGAAAGGGCUUCAGAAACAAAAGCCAGUGAAUUGAGGCACUAAGUGGCAUCUACUGCUACCUUCAAGAGAUGAAGGUCCACAAAUCCCUUUCCCCAGGUCAGCAUCACUGUCAUCAGUACCCAACAGCUGGUUGAGAGCUAUAUGGACCAUGAUCUGCAUAGAGUUUGGGGAAGGAGAAGAAAUACAUAUCCAUGAAAGAAUCCACCAGCUGUUCUCACUCCAAGGUGGUGGAGCCACUAUCCUGCCUUCACAUCUGCUUUUUUCUUUAAUUUCCCACAGAAUGUUGUGUUCAACAUGAUCAAGCUACCUAUAAGUGAGCAUGACUAUACUGCCCUUUUCUCUGCGAUUUGGAGGAUAACAGUGCAUUUUGCUUAUGCACUGGGCAUGGAUUUCAGGCCCCUAGCAGGAGCAGAGGUGUUUGGCCCAACAGGCCUCCCCUCUUUUGCAGGUCCCUGGUCCCUCCUCAUCACUGACUUUCAUUGUGGGACCACCCAGAUGUACUUCCGUGCUUGCUGUCUCCUCCAGGGCUUACUCCUUCCAGACACUCCAGCAAGACAGCUUAACAGAUAAUUUCUUACAGCAUGAAGAUGGGCAGAGCUAUUGCUGAAAUACAGAACUACAGAUCUUAAGACCAAAAUAGACAUCAGGGCCAUGGAGGUCAAUGAACAAGGAGAUAGGAGCCUCCACAUCUCUCUCAUGUGAAGACUGGUUGUGCAAAUUAUCCCACAGAGAGAAUUAGAGCAUAGAAUUCAUUCAUCCUGAAGACUCUUCCUUCAGGUGAAUAUCCGAGUAUCUUUUGCUAUGGUGGCUGAAAACUUUAUCUUGUUUCAAUGACUAAUUUGUUUGCAUUAUUUCUAUUCAAUCCAAGUACGUUCUUGCAAGACUGCUACGCAGGGGCUGCCAACCUAACUGCACCUCUUGGAGCUCUUACACAGUGUAAGAUUCUGCACAGACCAAGGAAAAUGUAUCAACUCCCUUCCUGUCUGAUACUGAAGUCCUGGAAAGAGCCCUAGGACUCCCACAGCAUGAACAAACUUCUAACUUGUCUUCCCUUCUGGAUUUCCAGGGGAUCUACUGAAAACCUCUUGAGUAGUUGGACUUUGGUAGGCUCCUUCAAGAUGGAUGUUGGGACAGUUUAUCCCCAGCCAGGUGCAUAACAACAGUUUGCAGACCUGUCUCACUACACCAGUGAGAAAUUACCGAAUCUCACAAAAUUUUAGGGAAUUAAAGGGACUUCUGGAGAUAAUCAAGUCCAACUCCCUACUAAAGCAGAUACUCUUCAGUAGGUUGCACAAGGAAAGCAACCUGUCAGAUCUUGAAUAUCACCAUAAAAGGAGAUUCCAGAGCCUCUCUGGGCAGCCAGUUCCAAUGCUCUGCCACUCUCACAGGAGCUCUAGUGACUGUCCUGAAGUAAUAGAUUUGACUGAAUAAACAUCGUGCAGCCACAUCAGAACCAAACAAA